Molecule: ribosomal RNA, 497 nt
Filed under: uncultured bacterium
Lineage: Bacteria
Description: partial 16S ribosomal RNA
Rfam family: Bacterial small subunit ribosomal RNA
Source: RNAcentral
GACGAACGCUGGCGGCGUGCCUAAUACAUGCAAGUAGAACGCUGAAGCGAGGAGCUUGCUCUUCUUGGAUGAGUUGCGAACGGGUGAGUAACGCGUAGGUAACCUGCCUGGUAGCGGGGGAUAAUUAUUGGAAACGAUAGCUAAUACCGCAUAAAAUGGAUUAUCGCAUGAUAAUCCAUUGAAAGGUGCAAAUGCAUCACUACCAGACGGACCUGCGUUGUAUUAGCUAGUUGGUGGGGUAACGGCUCACCAAGGCGACGAUACAUAGCCGACCUGAGAGGGUGAUCGGCCACACUGGGACGGAGACACGGCCCAGACGCCUACGGGAGGCAGCAGUAGGGAAUCUUCGGCAAUGGACGGAAGUCUGACCGAGCAACGCCGCGUGAGUGAAGAAGGUUUUCGGAUCGUAAAGCUCUGUUGUAAGAGAGGAACGAGUGUGAGAGUGGAAAGUUCACACUGUGACGGUAUCUGACCAGAAAGGGACGGCUAACUACGUG